GUGGGUAUAGCUCAGUGGUAGAGCAUAUGCUUAACAUGCACAAGGUCUUGGGUUCAACCCCCAGUACCUCCA
This 72-nucleotide transfer RNA is filed under the name Camelus bactrianus (Bactrian camel). It matches the Rfam family "tRNA". Rfam says of the family: Transfer RNA (tRNA) molecules are approximately 80 nucleotides in length. Their secondary structure includes four short double-helical elements and three loops (D, anti-codon, and T loops). The record is from Rfam by way of RNAcentral. RNAcentral also lists the same sequence under 2 other names. Lineage: Eukaryota; Metazoa; Chordata; Mammalia; Artiodactyla; Camelidae.